AGACCCGAAACCCGGUGAUCUAGCCAUGGGCAGGUUGAAGGUUGGGUAACACUAACUGGAGGACCGAACCGACUAAUGUUGAAAAAUUAGCGGAUGACCUGUGGCUGGGGGUGAAAGGCCAAUCAAACCGGGAGAUAGCUGGUUCUCCCCGAAAGCUAUUUAGGUAGCGCCUCGUGAAUUCAUCUCCGGGGGUAGAGCACUGUUUCGGCUAGGGGGCCAUCCCGGCUUACCAACCCGAUGCAAACUGCGAAUACCGGAGAAUGUUAUCACGGGAGACACACGGCGGGUGCUAACGUCCGUCGUGAAGAGGGAAACAACCCAGACCGCCAGCUAAGGUCCCAAAGUCAUGGUUAAGUGGGAAACGAUGUGGGAAGGCCCAGACAGCCAGGAUGUUGGCUUAGAAGCAGCCAUCAUUUAAAGAAAGCGUAAUAGCUCACUGGUCGAGUCGGCCUGCGCGGAAGAUGUAACGGGGCUAAACCAUGCACCGAAGCUGCGGCAGCGAACGUAUCACCCAAGACAACUUUACGGAGUUGACGAUUGACGGAGCGAAGCGACGUCAAAGCGUUCAUUAAAGUCGAGUUGGCUUAGGGAUACGUUCGUUGGGUAGGGGAGCGUUCUGUAAGCCUGUGAAGGUGUGUCGUGAGGCAUGCUGGAGGUAUCAGAAGUGCGAAUGCUGACAUAAGUAACGAUAAAGCGGGUGAAAAGCCCGCUCGCCGGAAGACCAAGGGUUCCUGUCCAACGUUAAUCGGGGCAGGGUGAGUCGACCCCUAAGGCGAGGCCGAAAGGCGUAGUCGAUGGGAAACGGGUUAAUAUUCCCGUACUUGGUGUUACUGCGAAGGGGGGACGGAGAAGGCUAUGUUGGCCGGGCGACGGUUGUCCCGGUUUAAGCGUGUAGGUGUGUGUUCCAGGUAAAUCCGGUUCACUUUAACACUGAGGCGUGACGACGAGGCACUACGGUGCUGAAGCAACAAAUGCCCUGCUUCCAGGAAAAGCCUCUAAGCAUCAGGUAACACGAAAUCGUACCCCAAACCGACACAGGUGGUCAGGUAGAGAAUACCAAGGCGCUUGAGAGAACUCGGGUGAAGGAACUAGGCAAAAUGGUGCCGUAACUUCGGGAGAAGGCACGCUGACACGUAGGUGAAGUGAUUUACUCAUGGAGCUGAAGUCAGUCGAAGAUACCAGCUGGCUGCAACUGUUUAUUAAAAACACAGCACUGUGCAAACACGAAAGUGGACGUAUACGGUGUGACGCCUGCCCGGUGCCGGAAGGUUAAUUGAUGGGGUCAGCGUAAGCGAAGCUCCUGAUCGAAGCCCCGGUAAACGGCGGCCGUAACUAUAACGGUCCUAAGGUAGCGAAAUUCCUUGUCGGGUAAGUUCCGACCUGCACGAAUGGCGUAAUGAUGGCCAGGCUGUCUCCACCCGAGACUCAGUGAAAUUGAACUCGCUGUGAAGAUGCAGUGUACCCGCGGCAAGACGGAAAGACCCCGUGAACCUUUACUAUAGCUUGACACUGAACAUUGAGCCUUGAUGUGUAGGAUAGGUGGGAGGCUUUGAAGUGUGGACGCCAGUCUGCAUGGAGCCGACCUUGAAAUACCACCCUUUAAUGUUUGAUGUUCUAACGUGGACCCGUAAUCCGGGUUGCGGACAGUGUCUGGUGGGUAGUUUGACUGGGGCGGUCUCCUCCUAAAGAGUAACGGAGGAGCACGAAGGUUGGCUAAUCCUGGUCGGACAUCAGGAGGUUAGUGCAAUGGCAUAAGCCAGCUUGACUGCGAGCGUGACGGCGCGAGCAGGUGCGAAAGCAGGUCAUAGUGAUCCGGUGGUUCUGAAUGGAAGGGCCAUCGCUCAACGGAUAAAAGGUACUCCGGGGAUAACAGGCUGAUACCGCCCAAGAGUUCAUAUCGACGGCGGUGUUUGGCACCUCGAUGUCGGCUCAUCACAUCCUGGGGCUGAAGUAGGUCCCAAGGGUAUGGCUGUUCGCCAUUUAAAGUGGUACGCGAGCUGGGUUUAGAACGUCGUGAGACAGUUCGGUCCCUAUCUGCCGUGGGCGCUGGAGAACUGAGGGGGGCUGCUCCUAGUACGAGAGGACCGGAGUGGACGCAUCACUGGUGUUCGGGUUGUCAUGCCAAUGGCACUGCCCGGUAGCUAAAUGCGGAAGAGAUAAGUGCUGAAAGCAUCUAAGCACGAAACUUGCCCCGAGAUGAGU
This 2202-nucleotide ribosomal RNA is filed under the name Salmonella enterica subsp. enterica serovar Typhimurium. RNAcentral describes it as "partial 23S ribosomal RNA". It matches the Rfam family "Bacterial large subunit ribosomal RNA", at positions 711 to 2809 of the family's 2925-position model. The record is from RNAcentral. Lineage: Bacteria; Pseudomonadati; Pseudomonadota; Gammaproteobacteria; Enterobacterales; Enterobacteriaceae.